RNAcentral lists this ribosomal RNA (512 nucleotides) under Colletotrichum gloeosporioides. Its description in RNAcentral is "eukaryotic LSU rRNA". The stretch from base 178 to 331 matches the Rfam family "5.8S ribosomal RNA". The record is from RNAcentral. Lineage: Eukaryota; Fungi; Ascomycota; Sordariomycetes; Glomerellales; Glomerellaceae.
CAUUACUGAGUUUACGCUCUAUAACCCUUUGUGAACAUACCUAUAACUGUUGCUUCGGCGGGUAGGGUCUCCGUGACCCUCCCGGCCUCCCGCCCCCGGGCGGGUCGGCGCCCGCCGGAGGAUAACCAAACUCUGAUUUAACGACGUUUCUUCUGAGUGGUACAAGCAAAUAAUCAAAACUUUUAACAACGGAUCUCUUGGUUCUGGCAUCGAUGAAGAACGCAGCGAAAUGCGAUAAGUAAUGUGAAUUGCAGAAUUCAGUGAAUCAUCGAAUCUUUGAACGCACAUUGCGCCCGCCAGCAUUCUGGCGGGCAUGCCUGUUCGAGCGUCAUUUCAACCCUCAAGCUCUGCUUGGUGUUGGGGCCCUACAGCUGAUGUAGGCCCUCAAAGGUAGUGGCGGACCCUCCCGGAGCCUCCUUUGCGUAGUAACUUUACGUCUCGCACUGGGAUCCGGAGGGACUCUUGCCGUAAAACCCCCAAUUUUCCAAAGGUUGACCUCGGAUCAGGUAGGA